AACGAACGCUGGCGGCAUGCCUAACACAUGCAAGUCGAACGCUACCGUCGGGUCUUGUUGCGCAGGGUGGGUUACGGCGGGGGAACUAGCCCGUAGGUAAGCUAUAACGUCCCGAGGGGUAAGCUAAUACCACGAAAUCUCAUCCGACAAAAGAUUUAUUGUCUUUGGAUGGGUCCGCGUUAGAUUAGCUUGUUUGUAGGGUAAAAGCCUAUGCAGGCGACGAUCUAUAUGUGGUCUGAGCGGAUGACCAACCACACUGGGACUCAGCCACGGCCCAGACUCCGACGGGGGGCAGAGGUGGGGAAGAGUGGACAGUGGGCGAAAGGCUGAUCCAGGGAUGCCGCGUGAGGGAUGAAGGCGUAAGGGUUGUAAAGGACUUUUACGCGGGAUGAGAAAGAGAAUACCGGGAGAAUAAGCUCCGGAUAUAUGCG
This 431-nucleotide ribosomal RNA is filed under the name uncultured bacterium. RNAcentral's name for it is "partial 16S ribosomal RNA". It matches the Rfam family "Bacterial small subunit ribosomal RNA", at positions 29 to 505 of the family's 1533-position model. The record is from RNAcentral.